This 163-nucleotide small nuclear RNA is filed under the name Schistocerca americana (American grasshopper). RNAcentral describes it as "U1 spliceosomal RNA". It matches the Rfam family "U1 spliceosomal RNA". Rfam says of the family: U1 is a small nuclear RNA (snRNA) component of the spliceosome (involved in pre-mRNA splicing). Lineage: Eukaryota; Metazoa; Arthropoda; Insecta; Orthoptera; Acrididae. RNAcentral also lists the same sequence under 1 other name. The record is from RNAcentral.
AUACUUACCUGGCACAGGGGAAACCAUGAUCACGAAGGCGGUUCCUCCAGGACGAGGCACUUCCAUUGCACUUCGGUUGGGCUGACCCCUGCGAUUACCCCUAAUGUGGGUAACUCGGGUGCAUAAUUUUUGGUAGUCGGGACUGCGUUCACGCAGACCCGGU